Molecule: ribosomal RNA, 488 nt
Filed under: uncultured bacterium
Lineage: Bacteria
Description: bacterial SSU rRNA
Rfam family: Bacterial small subunit ribosomal RNA
Source: RNAcentral
AUUGAACGCUGGCGGCAUGCCUUACACAUGCAAGUCGAACGGCAGCGCGUCCUUCGGGAUGGCGGCGAGUGGCGAACGGGUGAGUAAUACAUCGGAACGUGCCCGAGAGUGGGGGAUAACGCAGCGAAAGCUGUGCUAAUACCGCAUACGAUCUCAGGAUGAAAGCAGGGGACCGCAAGGCCUUGCGCUCACGGAGCGGCCGAUGGCAGAUUAGGUAGUUGGUGGGAUAAAAGCUUACCAAGCCGACGAUCUGUAGCUGGUCUGAGAGGACGACCAGCCACACUGGGACUGAGACACGGCCCAGACUCCUACGGGAGGCAGCAGUGGGGAAUUUGGACAAUGGGGGAACCCUGAUCCAGCCAUGCCGCGUGCAGGAUGAAGGCCUUCGGGUUGUAACUGCUUUGUACGGAACGAAAAGGUCUUUACUAAUAAGAAGGCUGAUGACGGUAACCGUAAGAAUAAGCACCGGCUAACUACGUGCCAGCACG